Molecule: ribosomal RNA, 584 nt
Filed under: Pseudomonas sp. StFLB077
Lineage: Bacteria; Pseudomonadati; Pseudomonadota; Gammaproteobacteria; Pseudomonadales; Pseudomonadaceae
Description: bacterial SSU rRNA
Rfam family: Bacterial small subunit ribosomal RNA
Source: RNAcentral
ACGGGUGAGUAAUGCCUAGGAAUCUGCCUGGUAGUGGGGGAUAACGCUCGGAAACGGACGCUAAUACCGCAUACGUCCUACGGGAGAAAGCAGGGGACCUUCGGGCCUUGCGCUAUCAGAUGAGCCUAGGUCGGAUUAGCUAGUUGGUGAGGUAAUGGCUCACCAAGGCGACGAUCCGUAACUGGUCUGAGAGGAUGAUCAGUCACACUGGAACUGAGACACGGUCCAGACUCCUACGGGAGGCAGCAGUGGGGAAUAUUGGACAAUGGGCGAAAGCCUGAUCCAGCCAUGCCGCGUGUGUGAAGAAGGUCUUCGGAUUGUAAAGCACUUUAAGUUGGGAGGAAGGGCAGUAACCUAAUACGUUAUUGUUUUGACGUUACCGACAGAAUAAGCACCGGCUAACUCUGUGCCAGCAGCCGCGGUAAUACAGAGGGUGCAAGCGUUAAUCGGAAUUACUGGGCGUAAAGCGCGCGUAGGUGGUUUGUUAAGUUGAAUGUGAAAUCCCCGGGCUCAACCUGGGAACUGCAUCCAAAACUGGCAAGCUAGAGUAGGGCAGAGGGUGGUGGAAUUUCCUGUGUAGCGGU